RNAcentral lists this transfer RNA (77 nucleotides) under Collibacillus ludicampi. RNAcentral describes it as "tRNA-Arg". It matches the Rfam family "tRNA". From Rfam's summary of the family: Transfer RNA (tRNA) molecules are approximately 80 nucleotides in length. Their secondary structure includes four short double-helical elements and three loops (D, anti-codon, and T loops). Further hydrogen bonds mediate the characteristic L-shaped molecular structure. tRNAs have two regions of fundamental functional importance: the anti-codon, which is responsible for specific mRNA codon recognition, and the 3' end, to which the tRNAs corresponding amino acid is attached (by aminoacyl-tRNA synthetases). tRNAs cope with the degeneracy of the genetic code in two manners: having more than one tRNA (with a specific anti-codon) for a particular amino acid; and 'wobble' base-pairing, i.e. permitting non-standard base-pairing at the 3rd anti-codon position. The record is from RNAcentral. Lineage: Bacteria; Bacillati; Bacillota; Bacilli; Caryophanales; Alicyclobacillaceae.
GUGCCCGUAGCUCAGCUGGAUAGAGUGUUUGACUACGAAUCAAAAGGUCGGGAGUUCGAAUCUCUCCGGGCACGCCA